Molecule: RNase P RNA, 356 nt
Filed under: Microbacterium invictum
Lineage: Bacteria; Bacillati; Actinomycetota; Actinomycetes; Micrococcales; Microbacteriaceae
Description: Microbacterium sp. DC-200 Bacterial RNase P class A
Rfam family: Bacterial RNase P class A
About the family: Ribonuclease P (RNase P) is a ubiquitous endoribonuclease, found in archaea, bacteria and eukarya as well as chloroplasts and mitochondria. Its best characterised activity is the generation of mature 5'-ends of tRNAs by cleaving the 5'-leader elements of precursor-tRNAs.
Source: Rfam by way of RNAcentral
UGGGUCGGCUGGACGGUCGCGUGGCGCGAGAGCGCACCGAGGAACGUCCGGGCUCCACAGGGCAGGGCGGUGGGUAACACCCACCCGGAGCAAUCCGCGAGACAGUGCCACAGAGAGCAGACCGCCGGCUCAGGCCGGUAAGGGUGAAAGGGUGGUGUAAGAGACCACCGGGGUCGUGGUGACACGACCCGCACGGCAAACCUCGCCCGGAGCAAGGCCAGACAGGGGAUGUUGACGCGGCUCGCCGAGUCCCCGGGUAGGCCGCUGGAGCGGCACGGCAACGUGUCGCCGAGAGAGAUGACCGUCGAAGGGGCAUCGCCCCGGAACAGAACCCGGCGUACAGGCCGGCCCAUUCG